GUAGGUGGCAAGCGUUGUCCGGAAUUAUUGGGCGUAAAGCGCGCGCAGGCGGUUCUUUAAGUCUGAUGUGAAAGCCCACGGCUCAACCGUGGAGGGUCAUUGGAAACUGGAGAACUUGAGUACAGAAGAGGAAAGCGGAAUUCCACGUGUAGCGGUGAAAUGCGUAGAGAUGUGGAGGAACACCAGUGGCGAAGGCGGCUUUCUGGUCUGUAACUGACGCUGAGGCGCGAAAGCGUGGGGGAGCAAACAGGAUUAGAUACCCUGGUAGUCCACGCCGUAAACGAUGAGUGAUAAGUGUUAGGGGGUUUCCGCCCCUUAGUGCUGCAGCUAACGCAUUAAGCACUCCGCCUGGGAGUACGGCCGCAAGGCUG
Molecule: ribosomal RNA, 371 nt
Filed under: uncultured organism
Description: partial 16S ribosomal RNA
Rfam family: Bacterial small subunit ribosomal RNA
Source: RNAcentral